CGUCUGGCUUGACCGGGGCGCUUGGCGUGCCCUAUACCCGAAAUCGUCAAUACGCGGGGGUGACAGCAGGGGACGGCCCCGCUGAACAUUUCAAGCCCAUCUAGCGACAAUGAAAUCUUGUCCUGCAGAGUCGGAGUUUGCGACGAAUGCGACCGGAGGGCCGCAGUUCACGCAUCAACUGGGGGAACCGGGUCAGGUCCUGACGGGAGCAGCCUUACCCUGGACUACUGACGUUUGCGGGAUCGCAGGGUUGAGAAGCGAAAUGGCAAACUUGAGAUGGGAGGUGGGGACAACCCCUGUGGCCAGGCG
This 309-nucleotide signal recognition particle RNA is filed under the name Thermoplasmata archaeon. RNAcentral's name for it is "signal recognition particle sRNA". It matches the Rfam family "Archaeal signal recognition particle RNA". The record is from RNAcentral. Lineage: Archaea; Methanobacteriati; Thermoplasmatota; Thermoplasmata.